Molecule: ribosomal RNA, 254 nt
Filed under: uncultured bacterium
Lineage: Bacteria
Description: partial 16S ribosomal RNA
Rfam family: Bacterial small subunit ribosomal RNA
Source: RNAcentral
UACGAAGGGGGCUAGCGUUGUUCGGAAUUACUGGGCGUAAAGGGCGCGUAGGCGGCCCGUUCAGUCAGAUGUGAAAGCCCCGGGCUCAACCUGGGAACUGCAUUUGAUACUGGCGGGCUUGAGUUCCGGAGAGGAUGGUGGAAUUCCCAGUGUAGAGGUGAAAUUCGUAGAUAUUGGGAAGAACACCGGUGGCGAAGGCGGCCAUCUGGACGGACACUGACGCUGAGGCGCGAAAGCCAGGGGAGCAAACGGGG